This 489-nucleotide ribosomal RNA is filed under the name uncultured bacterium. Its description in RNAcentral is "partial 16S ribosomal RNA". It matches the Rfam family "Bacterial small subunit ribosomal RNA", at positions 28 to 507 of the family's 1533-position model. The record is from RNAcentral.
GACGAACGCUGGCGGCGUGCUUAACACAUGCAAGUCGAACGGUGAAGGGACCAGCUUGCUGGUUCUGGAUGAGUGGCGAACGGGUGAGUAACACGUGAGUAACCUGCCCCCUUCUUCUGGAUAACCGCAUGAAAGUGUGGCUAAUACGGGAUAUUCUGGGUCUGUCGCAUGGCGGGCCCGGGAAAGAUAUUGCUUCGGUGGGGGAUGGGCUCGCGGCCUAUCAGCUUGUUGGUGGGGUGAUGGCCUACCAAGGCGGUGACGGGUAGCCGGCCUGAGAGGGUGGACGGUCACACUGGGACUGAGACACGGCCCAGACUCCUACGGGAGGCAGCAGUGGGGAAUAGUGCACAAGGGGCGCAAGCCUGAUGCAGCGACGCCGCGUGAGGGAUGGAGGCCUUCGGGGUGUAAACCUCUUUCGCCAGUGAAGCAGGCCUGCUCCUUGUGGGUGGGUUGACGGUAGCUGGAUAAGAAGCGCCGGCUAACUACGUG